This 440-nucleotide unclassified non-coding RNA is filed under the name uncultured Leifsonia sp. RNAcentral's name for it is "partial 16S-23S ribosomal RNA intergenic spacer". The record is from RNAcentral. Lineage: Bacteria; Bacillati; Actinomycetota; Actinomycetes; Micrococcales; Microbacteriaceae.
ACCCUGUGUUGUUUUCAACGCAGAGAUUGUCCAGGCGCCGGAUCUGAGACAGUACUUAUCACAUCGGUACGACUGGGUCUCAGCCGGUCAGCUCAUGGGUGGAACAUUGACAUUGGUGCGGAGCCGAACGGCUCGAACUUAGUACGCCUGCUUGCAGGAAGGAACAGUUCGGACCGGGGAGCCUCGCACAUGCACGCUGUUGGGUCCUGAGGGACCGGACCUCAUCGCUGUGUCUUCAAGACGCUGAGAUGAGAACCGAAUCCUCUGGACCUUUUUUGGUCGGCCAUAACUGGGCCGGCGGAAAAGGUACCGCCCGUACUUUGAGAACUACACAGUGGACGCGAGCAUCUUAGAUUCGGACCUUCGGGUUCGGAUCACAAAAGAUGAUCAUAGUACUUUCGAGUACUGAUUAGAUCAUUGGUCAAUCUGCUCACUUCGGA